UUUCCGUAGGUGAACCUGCGGAAGGAUCAUUAAUGAGUGGUCAUGGGGUUCGAUGCUGGCAGCCAAUUUUUGGAUGCAUGUGCUUGCCCUAACAAUCAUCUUCCAAACACCUGUGCACAUUUUUGAGGGAGUCUUGAGUUGGUUGCCGCUCUUGGGUGAUUUUCUCACAUUCCCUUAAAUCAUUAUACGCUAUUAACAAUGUUGAACGUGCUCUGUGCCGCAAGGCUAUUAAUAUAAUACAACUUUUAACAACGGAUCUCUUGGCUCUC
RNAcentral lists this unclassified non-coding RNA (269 nucleotides) under plant metagenome. Its description in RNAcentral is "partial contains small subunit ribosomal RNA, internal transcribed spacer 1, and 5.8S ribosomal RNA". The record is from RNAcentral.